CGCGAAUUCGCCCUUCGGGGUGCAGCAGGCGCGAAAACUUUGCAAUGCGGGAAACCGUGACAAGGGAACUCUGAGUGCCCGUUAAAUCGGGCUGUCCAUCGGUUUAAAUAACCGGUGAAGAAAGGGCCGGGCAAGACCGGUGCCAGCCGCCGCGGUAAUACCGGCGGCUCGAGUGGUGGCCACUAUUACUGGGCUUAAAGCGUUCGUAGCUGGUUUGUUAAGUCUCUGGGGAAAUCUUCCGGCUUAACCGGAAGGCGUCUCAGGGAUACUGGCAGACUAGGGACCGGGAGAGGUGAGAGGUACUCCAGGGGUAGGAGUGAAAUCCUGUAAUCCUUGGGGGACCACCUGUGGCGAAGGCGUCUCACCAGAACGGCUCCAACAGUGAGGGACGAAAGCUGGGGGAGCAAACCGGAUUAGAUACCCGGGUAGUCCCAGCUGUAAACGAUGCGCGUUAGGUGUAUCGGUGACCACGAGUCACCGAGGUGCCGAAGAGAAAUCGUGAAACGUGCCGCCUGGGAAGUACGGUCGCAAGGCUGAAACUUAAAGGAAUUGGCGGGGGAGCAC
This 564-nucleotide ribosomal RNA is filed under the name uncultured archaeon. Its description in RNAcentral is "bacterial SSU rRNA". It matches the Rfam family "Archaeal small subunit ribosomal RNA", at positions 311 to 879 of the family's 1478-position model. The record is from RNAcentral.